UGGGGAAUAUUGGACAAUGGGCGAAAGCCUGAUCCAGCAAUGCCGCGUGAGUGAAGAAGGCCUUAGGGUUGUAAAGCUCUUUCGCCUGCGACGAUGAUGACGGUAGCAGGAGAAGAAGCCCCGGCUAAUUCCGUGCCAGCAGCCGCGGUAAUACGGAAGGGGCUAGCGUUGUUCGGAAUCACUGGGCGUAAAGCGCGCGUAGGCGGCUUGGCAAGUGAGGCGUGAAAGUCCUGGGCUCAACCUGGGGACUGCGCUUCAGACUGCUUGGCUUGAGUCCGGAAGAGGGUGGUGGAAUUCCGAGUGUAGAGGUGAAAUUCGUAGAUAUUCGGAGGAACACCGGCGGCGAAGGCGGCCACCUGGUCCGGAACUGACGCUCAAGUGCGAAAGCGUGGGGAGCAAA
Molecule: ribosomal RNA, 400 nt
Filed under: uncultured bacterium
Lineage: Bacteria
Description: bacterial SSU rRNA
Rfam family: Bacterial small subunit ribosomal RNA
Source: RNAcentral